CCAAUAGCGUAUAUUAAAGUUGUUGCAGUUAAAAAGCUCGUAGUUGAAUUUCGGGGUUGGUAAGUUGGUUGUGCCACUGGUAUGUACUGGCUUUACUGAUUCCUCCUUCUUGUAGAACCGUAAUGCCAUUAAGUUGGUGUUGCGGGGAAACAGGACUGUUACUUUGAAAAAAUUAGAGUGUUUAAAGCAAGCUAACGCUUGAAUACAUUAGCAUGGAAUAAUGAAAUAGGACGUUCGAUCCUAUUUUGUUGGUUUCUAGGAUUUACGUAAUGAUUAAUAGGGAUAGUUGGGGGCAUUAGUAUACAAUUGUCAGAGGUGAAAUUCUUGGAUUUAUUGAAGACUAACUACUGCGAAAGCAUUUGCCAAGGAUGUUUUCAUUAAUCAAGAACGAAAGUUAGGGGAUCGAAGACGAUCAGAUACCGUCGUAGUCUUAACCAUAAACUAUGCCGACUAGGGAUCGGAUGAUGUUAAUUUUAUAAUGACUCAUUCGGCGCCUUACG
RNAcentral lists this unclassified non-coding RNA (500 nucleotides) under uncultured Glomus. Its description in RNAcentral is "SSU rRNA". It matches the Rfam family "Eukaryotic small subunit ribosomal RNA", at positions 591 to 1092 of the family's 1831-position model. Lineage: Eukaryota; Fungi; Glomeromycota; Glomeromycetes; Glomerales; Glomeraceae. The record is from RNAcentral.